GAUGAACGCUGGCGGCGUGCCUAACACAUGCAAGUCGAACGGGAAUCUUCGGAUUCUAGUGGCGGACGGGUGAGUAACGCGUAAGAAUCUAACUUCAGGACGGGGACAACAGUUAGAAAUGACUGCUAAUACCGGAUGUGCCGAAAGGUGAAAGAUUUAUUGCCUGAAAAGAGCUCGCGUCAGAUUAGCUAGUAGGUGGUGUAAGAGACUACCUAGGCGACGAUCUGUAGCUGGUCUGAGAGGACGAUCGGCCACACUGGAACUGAGACACGGUCCAGACUCCUACGGGAGGCAGCAGUGGGGAAUUUUCCGCAAUGGGCGAAAGCCUGACGGAGCAAUACCGCGUGAGGGACGAAGGCUUUUUGGGCGUAAACCUCUUUUACUCAAGGAAGAUAAUGACGGUACUUGAGGAAUAAGCAUCGGCUAACUCUGUGCCAGCAGCCGCGGUAA
This 450-nucleotide ribosomal RNA is filed under the name uncultured cyanobacterium. Its description in RNAcentral is "bacterial SSU rRNA". It matches the Rfam family "Bacterial small subunit ribosomal RNA", at positions 28 to 523 of the family's 1533-position model. The record is from RNAcentral. Lineage: Bacteria; Bacillati; Cyanobacteriota.